GGAGAGAUGGCCGAGCGGUUGAAGGCGAUUGACUCGAAAUCAAUUGUGCCCAUUACGUGGCACCGGGGGUUCGAAUCCCCCUCUCUCCGCCA
Molecule: transfer RNA, 92 nt
Filed under: Candidatus Tectimicrobiota bacterium
Lineage: Bacteria; Pseudomonadati; Candidatus Tectimicrobiota
Description: tRNA-Ser
Rfam family: tRNA
About the family: Transfer RNA (tRNA) molecules are approximately 80 nucleotides in length. Their secondary structure includes four short double-helical elements and three loops (D, anti-codon, and T loops).
Source: RNAcentral